Molecule: ribosomal RNA, 468 nt
Filed under: uncultured bacterium
Lineage: Bacteria
Description: partial 16S ribosomal RNA
Rfam family: Bacterial small subunit ribosomal RNA
Source: RNAcentral
GACGAACGCUGGCGGCGUGCUUAACACAUGCAAGUCGAACGGAAAGGCCCUGCUUUUGUGGGGUGCUCGAGUGGCGAACGGGUGAGUAACACGUGAGUAACCUGCCCUUGACUUUGGGAUAACUUCAGGAAACUGGGGCUAAUACCGGAUAGGAGCUCCUGCUGCAUGGUGGGGGUUGGAAAGUUUCGGCGGUUGGGGAUGGACUCGCGGCUUAUCAGCUUGUUGGUGGGGUAGUGGCUUACCAAGGCUUUGACGGGUAGCCGGCCUGAGAGGGUGACCGGCCACAUUGGGACUGAGAUACGGCCCAGACUCCUACGGGAGGCAGCAGUGGGGAAUAUUGCACAAUGGGCGGAAGCCUGAUGUAGCAACGCCGCGUGCGGGAUGACGGCCUUCGGGUUGUAAACCGAUUUCGCCUGUGACGAAGCGUGAGUGACGGUAAUGGGUAAAGAAGCACCGGCUAACUACGUG